UGGGGAAUAUUGGACAAUGGGCGAAAGCCUGAUCCAGCCAUGCCGCGUGUGUGAAGAAGGUCUUCGGGUUGUAAAGCUCUUUUACCAGGGACGAUAAUGACGGUACCUGGAGAAUAAGCCCCGGCAAACUUCGUGCCAGCAGCCGCGGUAAUACGAAGGGGGCUAGCGUUGUUCGGAAUUACUGGGCGUAAAGCGCACGUAGGCGGAUUGUUAAGUCAGAGGUGAAAUCCCGGAGCUCAACUUCGGAACUGCCUUUGAUACUGGCAAUCUAGAGUCCGGAAGAGGUUAGUGGAAUUCCCAGUGUAGAGGUGAAAUUCGUAGAUAUUGGGAAGAACACCAGUGGCGAAGGCGGCUAACUGGUCCGGUACUGACGCUGAGGUGCGAAAGCGUGGGGAGCAAACAGGAUUAGAUACCCCCGUAGUCCCUGAGCGGGCUGGCAAGGCGCAU
This 447-nucleotide ribosomal RNA is filed under the name uncultured bacterium. RNAcentral's name for it is "bacterial SSU rRNA". It matches the Rfam family "Bacterial small subunit ribosomal RNA", at positions 355 to 825 of the family's 1533-position model. The record is from RNAcentral.